AACCGCUACAUGCUAACUCCCUAAAGCCCCAAAGAGAGGUAAGCUAACCGCUACAUGCUAACUGGCUAACUCCCUAAAGCCCCGAAGAGAGGUAAGCUAACCGCUACAUGCUAACUGGCUAAAGCCCGAAGAGAGUUAAGCUAACCGCUACAUGCUAACUGGCUAAAGCCCCGCAGAGAGGUAAGCUAACCGCUACAUGCUAAUUGGCUAACUCCCUAAAGCCCUGAAGAGAAGUAAGCUAACCGCUACAUGCUAACUCCCUAAAGCCCCGAAGAGAGGUAAGCUAACCGCUACAUGCUAACUGGCUAACUCCCUAAAGCCCUGAAGAGAGGUAAGCUAACCGCUACAUGCUAACUCCCUAAAGCCCCGAAGAGAGGUAAGCUAACUGCUACAUGCUAACUGGCUAACUCCCUAAAGCCCUGAAGAGAGUAAGCUAACAGCUACAUGCUAAUUGGCUAACUCCCUAAAGCCCUGAAGAGAAGUAAGCUAACCGCUACAUGCUAACUCCCUAAAGCCCCGAAGAGAGGUAAGCUAACAGCUACAUGCUAAUUGGCUAACUCCCUAAAGCCCUGAAGAGAAGUAAGCUAACCGCUACAUGCUAACUCCCUAAAGCCCUGAAGAGAGGUAAGCUAACAGCUACAUGCUAAUUGGCUAACUCCCUAAAAGCCCUGAAGAGAAGUAAGCUAACCGCUACAUGCUAACUCCCUAAAGCCCCGAAGAGAGGUAAGCUAACAGCUACAUGCUAAUUGGCUAACUCCCUAAAGCCCUGAAGAGGUAAGCUAACAGCUACAUGCUAAUUGGCUAACUCCCUAAAGCCCUGAAGAGAAGUAAGCUAACCGCUACAUGCUAACUGGCUAACUCUCUAAAGCCCUGAAGAGAGGUAAGCUAACCGCUACAUGCUAACUCCCUAAAGCCCUGAAGAGAGGUAAAGCUAAACAUUAACAUCCAUGUUGUUGAUGGAUAAAUGUAAGUCCUCUCAUCCAGUGUCUUUGAUAACCGCUACAUGCUAACUCCCUAAAGCCCUGAAGAGAAGUAAGCUAACCGCUACAUGCUAACUCCCUAAAGCCCUGAAGAGGUAAGCUAACCGCUACCUGCUGGGGUUUUUGCCACCGGAGUAGAAUGUCAUAGCCAUUGAAAUAGAAUGAAUAGACCAGACUUGGAAGCUCUGCCCAAUACAUAGCAAGGCCUGUUCUACUCAUUCUAGUUCUGUGACUAUAGAAAUGAGAAGUAAAAGAUGAAUGAAAGUGUGUGUUGCUCUUCCCU
This is a long non-coding RNA of Oncorhynchus keta (chum salmon), 1263 nucleotides long. RefSeq lists it as uncharacterized. Lineage: Eukaryota; Metazoa; Chordata; Actinopteri; Salmoniformes; Salmonidae. The record is from RefSeq and is a predicted model, not a curated record. The transcript is spliced from 3 exons.